Molecule: ribosomal RNA, 470 nt
Filed under: uncultured bacterium
Lineage: Bacteria
Description: partial 16S ribosomal RNA
Rfam family: Bacterial small subunit ribosomal RNA
Source: RNAcentral
GGUGAACGCUGGCGGCGUGCCUAAGACAUGCAAGUCGAGCGGGGCAGGUUUAUACCUGUUCAGCGGCGGACGGGUGAGUACCGCGUGGGUGACCUACCCGGAAGAGGCGGACAACCUGGGGAAACCCAGGCUAAUCCGCCAUGUGGUCCUGUCCUGUGGGGCAGGACUAAAGGGUGGAUAGCCCGCUUCCGGAUGGGCCCGCGUCCCAUCAGCUAGUUGGUGGGGUAAAGGCCCACCAAGGCGACGACGGGUAGCCGGUCUGAGAGGAUGGCCGGCCACAGGGGCACUGGGACACGGGCGCCACUCCUACGGGAGGCAGCAGUUAGGAAGCUGCCGCAAUGGACGGAAGUCGGACGGAGCGACGCCGCUGGGAGGAGGAAGCCCUUCGGGGUGUAAACUCAUGAACUGGGGACGAAAGCCCUGUGUAGGGGGAUGACGGUACCCAGGUAAUAGCGCCGGCCAACUCCGUG